UACGGGGGGGGGCAAGCGUUGUUCGGAAUUACUGGGCGUAAAGGGCUCGUAGGCGGCCAACUAAGUCGGACGUGAAAUCCCUCGGCUUAACCGGGGAACUGCAUCCGAUACUGGAGGGCUUGAGUUUGGGAGAGGGAUGCGGAAUUCCAGGUGUAGCGGUGAAAUGCGUAGAUAUCUGGAGGAACACCGGUGGCGAAGGCGGCAUCCUGGACCAAUAUUGACGCUGAGGAGCGAAAGCCAGGGGAGCAAACGGG
This 254-nucleotide ribosomal RNA is filed under the name uncultured bacterium. Its description in RNAcentral is "partial 16S ribosomal RNA". It matches the Rfam family "Bacterial small subunit ribosomal RNA", at positions 524 to 776 of the family's 1533-position model. The record is from RNAcentral.